This is a small nucleolar RNA of Arachis stenosperma, 152 nucleotides long. RefSeq annotates it as small nucleolar RNA snoR2/U65. Lineage: Eukaryota; Viridiplantae; Streptophyta; Magnoliopsida; Fabales; Fabaceae. The transcript has a single exon. The record is from RefSeq and is a predicted model, not a curated record.
GCUCCAAUGCCACGUUGCUGGUAGCUACAAGCUAUGACCAAUGUGCUAUGAUUGGACCAAGAGCAAGAAUGUUCAUUUGUUUCACAUUUUGAUAGGAACCUGCGGAUCUUAAUACACUAUGAUUUAUGGAGCCGUUUCAUGUGAUUACAUUC